AACGCAAGUUGCGCCCGAAGCCAUUAGGCCGAGGGCACGCCUGCCUGGGCGUCACACGCCGUUGCCCCCCCGCGCCUCCCUCGGGAGCGUCGGGGGGCGGACGAUGGCCUCCCGUGCGUCACCCCGCGCGGUUGGCAUAAAUACCGAGUCCUCGGCGACGAACGCCACGACAAUCGGUGGUUGUCAAACCUCGGUUGCCUGUUGUGCGCCUUCGUCGCGCUCCGAGCGGCUCGCGAUGCUCGCUGCUCUUUGCUUCGGCGGAGCUUUCAACGCGACCCCAGGUCAGGCGGGGUUACCCGCUGAAUUUAA
RNAcentral lists this unclassified non-coding RNA (309 nucleotides) under Actinomucor sp. RNAcentral describes it as "partial contains 5.8S ribosomal RNA, internal transcribed spacer 2, and large subunit ribosomal RNA". The record is from RNAcentral. Lineage: Eukaryota; Fungi; Mucoromycota; Mucoromycetes; Mucorales; Mucoraceae.